Gopherus flavomarginatus (Mexican gopher tortoise) is the source of this 344-nucleotide long non-coding RNA. RefSeq lists it as uncharacterized. NCBI's taxonomy places the organism in Eukaryota, Metazoa, Chordata, Testudines, Testudinidae. The transcript is spliced from 2 exons. The record is from RefSeq and is a predicted model, not a curated record.
UCUGCUGCCACCACUGAUAAGAAACGUAGGGUAGUGGUGGUUGGAGACUCUCUGCUGAGGGGGACGGAGGCACCCAUCUGUCGCCCUGACCGUUCAUCCCGGGAGGUAGGGGUCCGGGCAGAGACAGAUGCAUCGUGGAGGUGAAUGCCUGGCUGCGAAGAUGGUGUCGCCAGGAGGGCUUUGGCUUCCUCGACCACGGGAUGCUAUUUGAGGAAGGACUGCUAGGAACAGAUGGCGUUCACCUUUCGAAGAGGGGAAAGGCCUUAUUUGCGCACAGACUGGCUAACCUAGUAAGGAGGGCUUUAAACUAGGUUCGACGGGGACAGGUGAGCAAAGCCCACAGG